GCCCAUAUUUGCUGUGUGUCAUCAUGUUUUCUUUCAGCUGUGGUAGACUUCAUGCCAUGUGACUGUGACCACGCAUGACAAAGCCUGUGUCCCUUCCACCUUCACUGGACAGUGAGCCUAAACCCGUGUGAGCGGUUCUGCGUGUGGUUUCCAUUUGGUCCCAGUAGGCCGCUCAGAUGUUUUCUCAGCUGGAGAAAUCUUGAAAUACUAAGCCACUUCAGGCAGAGCCUUCACUUCCGUCCCAGCCAGACCCAGGAAACCGCUCCCUCGGACACCAGUGCAGAGCCUUGGAGGGUCAGGCGUCUGUUUGAUGCCCAGGAACAGUGAGCCCACCCUCUGUUCGUCUAAGCCAUGCUUCUCAGAAGAAGGAGUUGGCAUUGGACAGUGUCGCUUGUGUCCCGAUGGGCCGUCUGGCACCCUGUAGGACUUUU
This 431-nucleotide long non-coding RNA is filed under the name Marmota monax (woodchuck). The record is from RNAcentral. Lineage: Eukaryota; Metazoa; Chordata; Mammalia; Rodentia; Sciuridae.